Long non-coding RNA from Lotus japonicus, 1065 nucleotides. RefSeq lists it as uncharacterized. The record is from RefSeq and is a predicted model, not a curated record. The transcript has 3 exons. Lineage: Eukaryota; Viridiplantae; Streptophyta; Magnoliopsida; Fabales; Fabaceae.
UAUUCUCCUCUAUUUAAAGAGGAGAAGCACUAUUCACCCUCAUUUCCUUUUUCAAAACCACGAGUUAUAGAGAGAGUGGGGCAAGAGAGAAAAUUUGAUUUUCUUGCUUGAUUCUUGAGAGCUUGGAGUGGAUUCUUGAAGGCUUGGGAGUGGAUUGCUUGAAGAGUCUGGGAUCUUCAUCAUAGCCUCCAUCUUCAACAUCUCUUUCAACCAUUUUCUCAUCCCAAUCUUUGAGCUUUGUGAGUAAAGGAUUGGAACGUGCAGGCUUGGGAACCAAGGAGUUGGAGCGAUCGUUUAAAGACAACGAAGAAAGAAGAAUCACCAAAGGUGAUGAAGGAUGGAGAAUAGAGUUGAUUGGAUUGGAUGAACGAGGAAGCGCGUCAUCCAAUGGUGGACCUUGAUAGAGUCAAGGAGCAUUGUGGACAUGUCCUCUCGGGUAGAGUGUGGCCAUGUCAGUGCAAUACUUGUAGGGUUUGAUCAGCAUGUGUCUAUAUUUUGGGGCAGGGUAGGUUCCCAACACAUAGCUUUUGGGUGGUUCUCCCUGGAUUGGAAUCGUAGGGAGUAGUCGGACGUAGGAGUCUAGAGGAGGCCAUUUGUGGCUGAUUAUUUCUUUCAUCACUUGUAAUAUAUUUGAAACUACUGAUGUUUUCUGAGAACUUUUAAACCUUGCCUUCAGGCCUAUGUUCAUAGCUUGGUGGGUUGUUUAAAUUAUUUAAGAAUUAUGCAUUGCAUGUUGAGAAAAGUUUCCUUUGGAAAGGAAAUAAAAGAAAAAAAUAACUCGCUUUUGAGGAUUAAUUAUGAAAACAUGUUGCAUAUUUAUUUGAGGCAAGUUACUAUUGUAACCCCUGAAAGUCGGGGCGUUACAUUGUAUGGUUAAGAAUUGGAAAUGAACGCACUUGUAUAUGUUGUUGAGUCAACCCUUGUGGCACGUUGUUGAUCAUGACCACAUUAUAGAUGUGUGCCAAUUUGUAAAAAUGUUUUAUGACUUCAUGUGGGCAUAUGUAUUAUGCUAUUUCACAUUUCGUAUCCACAUCCUAUUAUUAUAUGCUUGGAUUUCAAACCUAG